GCUGGCGGCGUGCUUAACACAUGCAAGUCGAACGAAGCACUUGACCUGUAAUUCUUCGGAAGGAAGCUCAAGUGACUGAGUGGCGGACGGGUGAGUAACGCGUGGGUAACCUGCCUCAUACAGGGGGAUAACAGUUAGAAAUGACUGCUAAUACCGCAUAAGCACACGUGAUCGCAUGAUCGAGUGUGAAAAACUCCGGUGGUAUGAGAUGGACCCGCGUCUGAUUAGCUGGUUGGUGGGGUAACGGCCCACCAAGGCGACGAUCAGUAGCCGGCCUGAGAGGGUGAACGGCCACAUUGGGACUGAGACACGGCCCAAACUCCUACGGGAGGCAGCAGUGGGGAAUAUUGCACAAUGGGGGAAACCUUGAUGCAGCGACGCCGCGUGAAGGAUGAAGUAUUUCGGUAUGUAAACUUCUAUCAGCAGGGAAGAAAAUGACGGUACCUGACUAAGAAGCCCCGGCUAACUACGUGCCAGCAGCCGCGGUAAUACGUAGGGGGCAAGCGUUAUCCGGAUUUACUGGGUGUAAAGGGAGCGUAGACGGCGCUGCAAGUCUGAAGUGAAAGCCCGGGGCUCAACCCCGGGACUGCUUUGGAAACUGUAAUGCUAGAGUGCUGGAGAGGUAAGUGGAAUUCCUAGUGUAGCGGUGAAAUGCGUAGAUAUUAGGAGGAACACCAGUGGCGAAGGCGGCUUACUGGACAGUAACUGACGUUGAGGCUCGAAAGCGUGGGGAGCAAACAGGAUUAGAUACCCUGGUAGUCCACGCCGUAAACAAUGAAUGCUAGGUGUUGGGGAGCAAAGUUUUUCGGGGCUGUAGCAAACGCAAUAAGCAUUACCGCUGGGGGAGUCCGUUUGCAAGAAUGAAAGUCAAAGGAAUUGACGGGGGCCCGCACAAGCGGUGGGGCAUGUGGUUUAAUUUGAAGCAACGUGAAGAACCUUGCCAAGUCCUGACCUCGGUUUGACCGGCGAGUAACGGGGCGUUGUCUUCGGAGCAGGAGCGACAGGUGGUGGCAUGGUUGUCGUCAGCUCGUGUCGUGAGAUGUUGGGUUAAGUUCCGCAACGAGCGCAACCGUUAUCCUUAGUAGCCAGCAGUAAGAUGGGCACUCUAGGGAGACUUCCAGGGAUAACCUGGAGGAAGGGGGGGAGGACGUCAAAUCAUCAUGCCCCUUAUGAUUUGGGGUACACACGUGCUACAAUGGUGUAAACAAAGGGAAGAGAAGCCGCGAGCUGAAGCAAAUCCCAAAAAUAACGUCCCAGUUCGGAUUGUAGGGUGCAACUCUCCUCCACGAAGCUGGAAUCGGUAGUAAUCGCGAAUCAGAAUGUCGCGGGGAAUACGUUCCCGGGUCUUGUACACACCGCCCGUCACCCCACGGGAGUCGAUAACGCCCGGAAGUCAGUGACCCAACCACAAGGAGGGAGCUGCCGA
Molecule: ribosomal RNA, 1426 nt
Filed under: uncultured organism
Description: 16S ribosomal RNA
Rfam family: Bacterial small subunit ribosomal RNA
Source: RNAcentral